RNAcentral lists this transfer RNA (53 nucleotides) under Oxyrrhis marina. RNAcentral describes it as "partial tRNA". Lineage: Eukaryota; Dinophyceae; Oxyrrhinales; Oxyrrhinaceae. The record is from RNAcentral.
GUGGUUAGGGCGACCGCCUGGGAUGCCAGGGGUUGCAGGUUCAAACCCGGUAG